This 269-nucleotide long non-coding RNA is filed under the name Phoenix dactylifera (date palm). Its description in RNAcentral is "long non-coding RNA (PDAC_LNC011827)". The record is from RNAcentral. Lineage: Eukaryota; Viridiplantae; Streptophyta; Magnoliopsida; Arecales; Arecaceae.
AGAGAGCAGAAAAGAGAGUACGUGGAGAAGACAGAGAGAAUAUUUGGACAAGAUGAAGAGGAUUAGUUUCCUCAAUUGUGUCUGUGCUGUUUACUUCUUUCCACCCGGUCUAAGAGGGUUCUCUCGGGCCCUCCAUCGGUCUCCCUCCUCCCUUUUCCCCCAGGUUUCCUUUUAUAGAAGGAUUUUGUUACCUGGGAGGUGACGGGAGGUUUGUCCUGUUUUGUAAUAACUGGGCACGAUUUGGCCCAUUAAUGGCGUAGUGGAGAAUA